AUUGAACGCUGGCGGCAGGCUUAACACAUGCAAGUCGAGCGGGGUGAUGGUGCUUGCACUAUCACUUAGCGGCGGACGGGUGAGUAAUGCUUAGGAAUCUGCCUAUUAGUGGGGGACAACAUCUCGAAAGGGAUGCUAAUACCGCAUACGUCCUACGGGAGAAAGCAGGGGAUCUUCGGACCUUGCGCUAAUAGAUGAGCCUAAGUCGGAUUAGCUAGUUGGCGGGGUAAAGGCCUACCAAGGCGACGAUCUGUAGCGGGUCUGAGAGGAUGAUCCGCCACACUGGGACUGAGACACGGCCCAGACUCCUACGGGAGGCAGCAGUGGGGAAUAUUGGACAAUGGGGGGAACCCUGAUCCAGCCAUGCCGCGUGUGUGAAGAAGGCCUUAUGGUUGUAAAGCACUUUAAGCGAGGAGGAGGCUACUUUAGUUAAUACCUAGAGAUAGUGGACGUUACUCGCAGAAUAAGCACCGGCUAACUCUGUGCCAGCCGCCGCGGUAA
RNAcentral lists this ribosomal RNA (501 nucleotides) under uncultured bacterium. RNAcentral describes it as "partial 16S ribosomal RNA". It matches the Rfam family "Bacterial small subunit ribosomal RNA", at positions 30 to 523 of the family's 1533-position model. The record is from RNAcentral.